GGAGGCGUGGCUGAGUGGUUGAAGGCGGUCGCCUCGAAAGCGAUUAUCCCCUAAAGGGAUCGGGGGUUCGAAUCCUCCCGCCUCCG
RNAcentral lists this transfer RNA (86 nucleotides) under Candidatus Omnitrophota bacterium. RNAcentral's name for it is "Candidatus Omnitrophica bacterium tRNA-Ser". It matches the Rfam family "tRNA". Rfam says of the family: Transfer RNA (tRNA) molecules are approximately 80 nucleotides in length. The record is from RNAcentral. Lineage: Bacteria; Pseudomonadati; Candidatus Omnitrophota.